AGUGAACGCUGGCGGUAGGCCUAACACAUGCAAGUCGAACGGCAGCACAGUAAGAGCUUGCUCUUACGGGUGGCGAGUGGCGGACGGGUGAGGAAUACAUCGGAAUCUACUUUUUCGUGGGGGAUAAGGUAGGGAAACUUACGCUAAUACCGCAUACGACCUACGGGUGAAAGCAGGGGAUCUUCGGACCUUGCGCGAUUGAAUGAGCCGAUGUCGGAUUAGCUAGUUGGCGGGGUAAAGGCCCACCAAGGCGACGAUCCGUAGCUGGUCUGAGAGGAUGGUCAGCCACACUGGAACUGAGACACGGUCCAGACUCCUACGGGAGGCAGCAGUGGGGAAUAUUGGACAAUGGGCGCAAGCCUGAUCCAGCCAUACCGCGUGGGUGAAGAAGGCCUUCGGGUGGUAAAGCCCUUUUGUUGGGAAAGAAAAGCAGCAGGUUAAUACCCCGCUGUUCUGACGGUACCCAAAGAAUAAGCACCGGCUAACUUCGU
This 491-nucleotide ribosomal RNA is filed under the name uncultured bacterium. RNAcentral describes it as "partial 16S ribosomal RNA". It matches the Rfam family "Bacterial small subunit ribosomal RNA", at positions 29 to 506 of the family's 1533-position model. The record is from RNAcentral.